Molecule: unclassified non-coding RNA, 381 nt
Filed under: uncultured bacterium
Lineage: Bacteria
Description: contains 16S-23S intergenic spacer region
Source: RNAcentral
UCCGGUUUGGCACCGGCAGUCUCCGAUGAGUCCCCGACAUAACUCGCCGGCAACAUCGGACAGGGGUUGCGCUCGUUGCGCCACUUAAGGCAACACCUCACGGCACGAGCUGACGACAGCCAUGCAGCACCUGUGUCUAGGUUCCCUUUCGGGCACUCCUGCAUUUCUGCAGGAUUCCUAGCAUGUCAAGCCCAGGUAUGGUUCUUCGCGUUGCGUCGAAUUAAACCACAUGCUCCACCGCUUGUGCGGGCCCCCGUCAAUUCCUUUGAGUUUCAGCCUUGCGGCCGUACUCCCCAGGCGGGGCACUUAAUGCGUUAGCGCCGGCACCCGGGGGGUCGCUCCCCCAAGCACCUAGUGCCCAUCGUUUACGGCGUGGACUAC